Molecule: regulatory RNA element, 132 nt
Organism: Tessaracoccus lapidicaptus
Lineage: Bacteria; Bacillati; Actinomycetota; Actinomycetes; Propionibacteriales; Propionibacteriaceae
Rfam family: FMN riboswitch aptamer (RFN element)
About the family: The RFN element is a highly conserved domain that is found frequently in the 5'-untranslated regions of prokaryotic mRNAs that encode for flavin mononucleotide (FMN) biosynthesis and transport proteins. This element is a metabolite-dependent riboswitch that directly binds FMN in the absence of proteins.
Source: Rfam
AACGUGCUCCGGGGUCGGUGAAACUCCGAACCGGCGGUGAUAGUCCGCGACCCGGCGGCUCCUUGUGAGCCAAUGGUUGAACCGGUGGGAUUCCGGUACCGACGGUUAAAGUCCGGAUGGGAGGCGCACGCG